Aricia agestis (brown argus) is the source of this 102-nucleotide long non-coding RNA. RefSeq lists it as uncharacterized. Lineage: Eukaryota; Metazoa; Arthropoda; Insecta; Lepidoptera; Lycaenidae. The record is from RefSeq and is a predicted model, not a curated record. The transcript is spliced from 3 exons.
GUAAUUCGCAUCAUUCGGGGCAUCUGAAACAAAUAAAAUUAACAAUUUAAUUGCUGACUAAUCGGUUACGAACAUGGUUGAUCUGGCAACCCGUUUACCGCU